GGAAUAUUGGACAAUGGGCGAAAGCCUGAUCCAGCCAUGCCGCGUGUGUGAAGAAGGUCUUCGGAUUGUAAAGCACUUUAAGUUGGGAGGAAGGGCAGUAAGCGAAUACCUUGCUGUUUUGACGUUACCGACAGAAUAAGCACCGGCUAACUCUGUGCCAGCAGCCGCGGUAAUACAGAGGGUGCAAGCGUUAAUCGGAAUUACUGGGCGUAAAGCGCGCGUAGGUGGUUUGUUAAGUUGGAUGUGAAAGCCCCGGGCUCAACCUGGGAACUGCAUCCAAAACUGGCAAGCUAGAGUACAGUAGAGGGUGGUGGAAUUUCCUGUGUAGCGGUGAAAUGCGUAGAUAUAGGAAGGAACACCAGUGGCGAAGGCGACCACCUGGACUGAUACUGACACUGAGGUGCGAAAGCUAGGGGAGCGAAUGGGAUUAGAUACCCGGG
RNAcentral lists this ribosomal RNA (440 nucleotides) under uncultured Pseudomonas sp. Its description in RNAcentral is "bacterial SSU rRNA". It matches the Rfam family "Bacterial small subunit ribosomal RNA", at positions 358 to 790 of the family's 1533-position model. Lineage: Bacteria; Pseudomonadati; Pseudomonadota; Gammaproteobacteria; Pseudomonadales; Pseudomonadaceae. The record is from RNAcentral.